UGCCAGCCGCCGCGGUAACACGGGGGGCGCAAGCGUUAUUCGGAAUUAUUGGGCGUAAAGGGCGCGCAGGCGGUCUUGUCCGUCAGGUGUGAAAGCUCGGGGCUCAACCCCGGAAGUGCACUUGAAACAGCAAGACUUGAAUACGGUAGAGGAGAGAGGAAUUCCUGGUGUAGAGGUGAAAUUCGUAGAUAUCAGGAGGAACACCGAUGGCGAAGGCGACACUCUGGACGGGUAUUGACGCUGAGGCGCGAAAGCGUGGGGAGCAAACAGGAUUAGAUA
This 279-nucleotide ribosomal RNA is filed under the name uncultured bacterium. RNAcentral describes it as "partial 16S ribosomal RNA". It matches the Rfam family "Bacterial small subunit ribosomal RNA", at positions 506 to 784 of the family's 1533-position model. The record is from RNAcentral.